GGGUGUGUGGUUAGCGCGGUGGUCCCACCCCGUCCCAUCCCGAACCGGGUCGUGAAACACCGCAGCGCCGAUCCUACUGGCGGGGAACCCGCUGGGAACCUAGGUCCACGCACCCU
Molecule: ribosomal RNA, 116 nt
Organism: Oscillochloris trichoides
Lineage: Bacteria; Bacillati; Chloroflexota; Chloroflexia; Chloroflexales; Oscillochloridaceae
Source: Rfam